GGGUCAGUAGGCUGGUCGUGCCACCGGUACGUACUGGUCUCACUGAUUCCUCCUUCCCGAAGAACCGUAAUGCCAUUAAUUUGGUGUUGCGGGGAAACAGGACUGUUACUUUGAAAAAAUUGGAGUGUUCAAAGCAAGCUAACGCUUGAAUACAUUAGCAUGGAAUAAUGAAAUAGGACGAUCGAUCCUAUUUUGUUGGUUUCUAGGAUUGACGUA
RNAcentral lists this ribosomal RNA (216 nucleotides) under Glomeromycotina sp. Its description in RNAcentral is "partial small subunit ribosomal RNA". The stretch from base 75 to 216 matches the Rfam family "Eukaryotic small subunit ribosomal RNA", at positions 721 to 864 of the family's 1831-position model. The record is from RNAcentral. Lineage: Eukaryota; Fungi; Glomeromycota.